Molecule: microRNA precursor, 85 nt
Filed under: Bombyx mori (domestic silkworm)
Lineage: Eukaryota; Metazoa; Arthropoda; Insecta; Lepidoptera; Bombycidae
Description: mir-2807 microRNA precursor family
Rfam family: mir-2807 microRNA precursor family
Source: Rfam by way of RNAcentral
UUAACUUAAAUUUUGUAUGCAGUUGGAACAGCGCUCCUAGCGGCAAACGUAGGCAAACAUUCCAUCUCCAUACAAAUUUGAGUUA